CCGUUGCAGCAGGGGGUUCAAAUUGAUUGACGGACGUAGUUCCAGUAUACACCUGAACACUCCUGGACAGACCAGUGUUCUGUGGCUGCAGUGCAGAGUCUGCUGACGGUGUCUCUGCUUAUCGGCGGCGUCAGGGUCGGACAUCCGAGGUGAACAUAAGGUGAAGACAGCAGAGGAAGCAGCAACUUUGGCUGAUGACUAUGUGCUGACACAUCUUGGUGACUACAGAGCUCAGGACAGUGGUAAAAAUAAAUAUCAGUCAGCAGGUAAGACUGGAACAGACAGAUUUGUGUGGAGUCAGGCACAGGGAAACUCCUGUAACUACUGAAGAGGCAGAGGCCACUGGAAAGCUGAAUGUCCAGUAAAAGGUAGUUGUGAAGGUGGGCAGGUGGAGCCUGUUGUGCUCGCUGCUACUGGCAGGAGGUUUACUGGUGUCCUCUGUCCUGGUGUCUGUUCUCACAGAUUUAAGGGGGAAUCUGCAGUGGACUAUGGUAGGUUACAGUCUGAUUUCUCAGCCUUUCUGUCUAAUGGUUAUGUGCCCUGGUAGGUAGUAAUGGUAAGGUACCAGUAAGAAUUCUGAGAGAUAGUGGAGCAAGCUGCACAUUGAUUGUGAGUUCUGUGCUGCCGUUCUCUCAGUUCACGGCUACUGGUGAAAAGGUUCAGAUGAAG
Amphiprion ocellaris (clown anemonefish) is the source of this 669-nucleotide long non-coding RNA. NCBI's taxonomy places the organism in Eukaryota, Metazoa, Chordata, Actinopteri, Pomacentridae. The record is from Ensembl.